This 465-nucleotide ribosomal RNA is filed under the name uncultured bacterium. RNAcentral describes it as "bacterial SSU rRNA". It matches the Rfam family "Bacterial small subunit ribosomal RNA", at positions 338 to 795 of the family's 1533-position model. The record is from RNAcentral.
CCUACGGGUCGCACCAGUAGGGAUCUUCCGCAAUGGACGAAAGUCUGACGGAGCAACGCCGCGUGAGUGAUGAAGGCUUUCGGGUCGUAAAACUCUGUUGUUAGGGAAGAACAAGUGCUAGUUGAAUAAGCUGGCACCUUGACGGUACCUAACCAGAAAGCCACGGCUAACUACGUGCCAGCAGCCGCGGUAAUACGUAGGUGGCAAGCGUUAUCCGGAAUUAUUGGGCGUAAAGCGCGCGCAGGUGGUUUCUUAAGUCUGAUGUGAAAGCCCACGGCUCAACCGUGGAGGGUCAUUGGAAACUGGGAGACUUGAGUGCGGAAGAGGAAAGUGGAAUUCCAUGUGUAGCGGCGAAAUGCGUAGAGAUAUGGAGGAACACCAGUGGCGAAGGCGACUUUCUGGUCUGUAACUGACACUGGGGCGCGAAAGCGUGGGGAGCAAACAGGAUUAGAUACCCCAGUAGUC